RNAcentral lists this ribosomal RNA (374 nucleotides) under uncultured eukaryote. RNAcentral describes it as "partial 18S ribosomal RNA". It matches the Rfam family "Eukaryotic small subunit ribosomal RNA", at positions 592 to 976 of the family's 1831-position model. The record is from RNAcentral.
CAAGAGCGUAUGUAAAAGUUGUUGCAGUUAAAAAGCUCGUAGUUGAACCUUGGGUUUGGUUGGCCGGUCCGCUUUUUUGCGAGUACUGGAUUCAACCGAGCCUUUCCUUCUGGCUAACCAGUCGUUUCGGCGGCUGGCGAACCAGGAUUUUUACUUCGAGAAAAUUAGAGUGUUCAAAGCAGGCAUUAGCUUGAAUAUAUUAGCAUGGAAUAAUAGAAUAGGACGUUAUGGUUCUAUUUUGUUGGUUUCUAGGACCAUCGUAAUGAUUAAUAGGGACGGUCGGGGGCAUCAGUAUUCAGUUGUCAGAGGUGAAAUUCUUGGAUUUACUGAAGACUAACUACUGCGAAAGCAUUUGCCAAGGACGUUUUCAUUAA